ACACACACACAGGCGUGUCAUUUAGGUGGGUGUGGCUCCUAGAGCAAGGAAGUUUGUAUGUGCAAUGAACUGUGACCACAAUCUGAAGAAGGAGGACAUGCACAGUGUCUGAGGACAUGAACUUCUGGUGACAUGGACGUGUAGGAACCACGAGUGUCUGUCAAUAAGAGUCUCCAAGAGGCUGAAGGUCUCCGAGGUUGGACAACUAAUCUGGAGUUCAUAUAAACGGAGAAAGAUUUUGGAGAAAGAUGGGUCUUCUGAAGCUUCUGAAAACCCAAUUUUUGUGCCACCUAAUCAUGUGCUACGUGUUCCUGGUGAGCGGCCUUAUUGUCAACCUGUUGCAGCUCUGUACUUUACCUCUGUGGCUGGUCAAUAGGCAGCUGGCCCGCAGGAUCAACAUCAGACUGUGCUACUGCGUCUGCAGCCAAAUGGUAGCAGCCUUCGAGUGGUGGUCUGGCACAGAAGUCAGACUUUACGCCGAUCCAAAGAGUGUCCUGCAGUUUGGAAAUGAGAACGCUAUUGUGGUUCUCAACCACGGCUUUGAGAUAGAUUUUCUCUGUGGAUGGACCUUAUGUGACAGAUUCGGAGUCCUUGGGAGCUCAAAGGUAAUGGCCAAAAGGGAGCUGGCUUAUGUGCCCGUGAUUGGCUGGAUGUGGUACUUCCUGGAGAUGAUUUUCUGCAAAAGGAAGUGGGAGGAGGACCGAAGGAUGGUGACUCAGUGUCUUCAGAACCUGCGGGAUUACCCAGAACACUUCUGGUUCCUGCUUUUCUGUGAAGGAACUCGCUUCACACCAAAGAAACACCAAAUCAGCAUGCAGGUGGCCGAGAGCAAAGGUCUCCCAAAACUCAAGUACCAUCUCCUGCCCAGAACCAAAGGAUUCUGGGUAACUGUCCAGAACCUCAGAGGAGCUGCUGCAGCCGUUUAUGAUGCCACCCUCAACUUCAGGGACAAUGAAACACCGACCCUUCGUGGAGUUCUGAACGGGAAGAAGUAUCAUGCAGAUCUGUAUGUAAGGAGGAUUCCUCUGGAUUCGAUACCAGAGGAUGAGGGGGAGUGUGGGGCCUGGCUCCACAAACUUUACCAGGAAAAGGACAGCUUUCAGGAGUACCACGCGCAGACGGGACGCUUCCCCGGCCCCACAGUGAGCCCUCCACGUCGACCGUGGGCCCUGAUCAACCUUCUGUUCUGGUCCUGCCUGGUCCUCUACCCUCUGGGACUCCUCAUCACUCAGCUGAUCAGCUCCGGAUCACUUCUUACCAUCUUGGCUUCCGUCGUCGUCUGCUCUGCAGCUUCGGUGGGAGUUCGCUGGAUGAUUGCCCAGACUGAGAUUGACAGUGGAUCAAAUUACGGGAAUAAGGAUGUUCCUCUAAAAAACAAAUGAGUUGAUAAUUCCCCAGAGCUACUUCCCGGCAGAGCUACUAAACUGCACACUGCCAGCUGCAGGAGUCGGUUAAUCCAGCAAGCUCAGAGCUGCUUCAAAAGCGCAGCACAGACGGGGCUGAUUCAUCUUAAUGCUAUGCAGCAGGAGCUGAAACUGGACCACGGUGAGCGGCACAGGGAAUAACAAAUGCAGCAUUCAGGACGGAAAUAUUAGAUUGCAGCCAAGAUAUUUCCUGAUGAAGAUUUUAAAUCAAACAGCAUCAGUGAAGGAGACCAGAGUCUUUUUGUCCUCCUAUCAGUCGAAACAACAGCUUCCAGAAUGAUUUAAUUUGACAUUUAUAGAUAUGAGUAUUUAUUUAUCUACACAGCAGAGACAGAUGAAUAAAUGACUAUCUUGUUCAAGAUGUGAACUUUGUGCAUGCACUCUGACCUCUGCAGAUUGAGCUGGGAGAGAAGAUAAUGCGACUCAUCCGGCAUUACGCAUGUGUCAUAAACUUGAUAAACUUCAUGUGAUUACAGGGCUGUUAAAGUAAAAAGUAAAAAGAGAUCUAGCUGUGAUUCAAGUGCCGAAGCACAUGUCAGCAUUUGCAAGUGUGAACGGUUGACUGUGAAACACUUUGUAAAGUGCUGUAGAGCCUGGACAAGGUUAAAGCGGCUCGACAGAGGAGCAGACCAUUCGUCAGAAAGCCCGCUGUAAAUAUCUCAUUAUCAUCCUUGGACAUUGGGUGCAAAAACAACGGCAGAAGACUAAAUAUUACACUGUGACAAGGUCAUAAAACAAACAAACACAGGCCCGCCUUCAGUUCAAAUGUUUUCUGUAUCAGGCCGAAAAGAAAAAAAACGUGAUUCUUACCACAUCUUAAGAUAAGUUCUUGAAUAAAGCAGAGAAGUGGAAGGUCAAAGUGACUGUUUUGUUUGUUUCUUGAAAUACUGUAUAUCAUAUCAUAUAAUGUAAAGAUAAUUAAAACCACACAGAAGCUAAACCAAAAGGCAAACGUAGU
Cololabis saira (Pacific saury) is the source of this 2382-nucleotide RNA transcript. It is a transcript of the gene named 1-acylglycerol-3-phosphate O-acyltransferase 4 (lysophosphatidic acid acyltransferase, delta), with no coding region annotated. The transcript has 10 exons. Lineage: Eukaryota; Metazoa; Chordata; Actinopteri; Beloniformes; Belonidae. The record is from RefSeq and is a predicted model, not a curated record.